GGACUACCAGGGUUUCUAAUCCCGUUCGCUCCCCAUGCUUUCGUGGCUGAGCGUCAGGUACGAGCCAGGGGGCCGCCUUCGCCUCUGGGGUUCCUCCGGAUCUCUACGCAUUUCACCACUACACCCGGAAUUCCACCCCCCUCUCUCGCCCUCUAGAACUGCAGUCUGGCAUAACCCCUCCAGGUUAAGCCUGGAGAUUUCAUACACCACUUGCACUCCCGCCUGCACACCCUUUACGCCCAGUAAAUCCGGAUAACGCUUGCCACCUACGUUUUACCGCGGCUGCUGGCAC
RNAcentral lists this ribosomal RNA (292 nucleotides) under uncultured bacterium. RNAcentral describes it as "partial 16S ribosomal RNA". The record is from RNAcentral.